Marmota monax (woodchuck) is the source of this 340-nucleotide long non-coding RNA. RefSeq lists it as uncharacterized. The record is from RefSeq and is a predicted model, not a curated record. NCBI's taxonomy places the organism in Eukaryota, Metazoa, Chordata, Mammalia, Rodentia, Sciuridae. The transcript has 3 exons.
GAUCACUCCUAAGCCAGGAUCAACCAGAGCUACAGGAGUUUGGCACACGUGUGCACCAUCCGCCUCCUUCCAAGAACAAUGGGUUCACACUGCAGACCCAGGGGAGGCCAAGCCCGGGAAGUGGCCUGAGACACAAUUGGGUCAGCUAAAAUUGUGUCAAGUAAAGCUCAGCAUGGUGACCUCAUCCGAGUUACUUGCAAAUGGCAAGAGGUGAACAGCGCUUCCACCAGGUACUCAUACCAUGACGUGCUGCCUGACCACAGGCCCAAAGCAUCAGGGCCAAAAGACCCUGGGCUGAAACUUCUGAAAUCAGGAGACAAGGUAAACUUUUUCUCCUUAU